This 115-nucleotide ribosomal RNA is filed under the name Dentex hypselosomus. RNAcentral describes it as "partial 16S rRNA". Lineage: Eukaryota; Metazoa; Chordata; Actinopteri; Spariformes; Sparidae. The record is from RNAcentral.
UGCCCAUCAGCUAGCCCCCCCCACGAAAACUAACACACCCCUAUCAAUACCCCCUAAUACCCUGACGUAUAACCAAACAAAUCAUUUUUCCCCCUAAGUAUGGGCGACAGAAAAG